GCCGGGCGCGGUGGUGAGUACCUGUAAUCCCAGCUACUCGGGAGGCUGAGGUGGGAUGAUUGCUUGAGCCCAGGAGUCCUGGGCUGUAGUGCACUAUGCUGUAGUUUAGCAUCAAUAUGGUGACCUCCUGGGAGUGGGGGACUACCAGGUUGCCUAAGGAGGGGUGCACCAGCCCAGGUUGGAAACAGAGCCGGUCAAAACUCCCAUGUUGAUCAGUAGUGGGAUCAUGCCUGUGAAUAGCCACUGCACUCCAGUCUGGGCAACAUAGCCUUGCU
Molecule: unclassified non-coding RNA, 275 nt
Organism: Callithrix jacchus (white-tufted-ear marmoset)
Lineage: Eukaryota; Metazoa; Chordata; Mammalia; Primates; Cebidae
Rfam family: Metazoan signal recognition particle RNA
About the family: The signal recognition particle (SRP) is a universally conserved ribonucleoprotein. It is involved in the co-translational targeting of proteins to membranes.
Source: Ensembl